CGUNCANGGGUAAACCUGCGAAACUCGAAUGAACGAACGGGGAGAUUCAUCGUCAUUCGACGGACGGCGUUGCGAUUGUGCGAUGCGUAGCCUGCCGGCGAUUUCGGUCGUCGGUGUUAGCUGCGCACGUGCAUCGUUACGUAUCAGCGUCCGUCGACGGCGUGCACUUCUCCCUUAGUACUGCAUCGCGACCCGCUCGGAGCGGCCUAAGCGCUUUUCUGGAGCCCGCGGCGCCUCACGGCGCCGCGGACCGUGAUUGUUGCCGGCCGUCUGUCGGGCGGUAGUUGACAUGAAACGCGCACGCGCUCGUCGCGUCCGGCCCGACGCAAGGUCGUCGCGACGCCGCUGUUACGCCUAUGUGCGUUCAGUGUGCGUCCGGCGCCUGCCCAUCGCUGCCGUGCCGUCUCGGACGUGCGUGUAUCGAGUCUGCGAUGUCUUUGUUUCGGGCACUCGCAGGACCCGUCUUGAAACACGGACCAAGGAGUCUAGCAUGUGUGCGAGUCACUAGGUGCUCGUACUAAACCGAAAGGCGUAACGAAAGUGAAGGCGCGCGCUCGACGCGCGCUCUGGGAGGAUGACGACGGCACUCGUGGUCGACGUCCGCACUCCCGAGGCGUCCCGUUCGCAAUCUGUCGAUGUGGGCGCGCUCAGAGCACAGAUGCUGGGACCCGAAAGAUGGUGAACUAUGCCUGGUCAGGUCGAAGUCAGGGGAAACCCUGAUGGAGGACCGUAGCGAUUCUGACGUGCAAAUCGAUCGUCGGAACUGGGUAUAGGGGCGAAAGACUAAUCRACAC
Molecule: ribosomal RNA, 794 nt
Filed under: Roscidotoga lamingtonia
Lineage: Eukaryota; Metazoa; Arthropoda; Insecta; Lepidoptera; Nepticulidae
Description: eukaryotic LSU rRNA
Rfam family: Eukaryotic large subunit ribosomal RNA
Source: RNAcentral